GACGAACGCUGGCGGCGUGCUUAACACAUGCAAGUCGAACGGAAAGGCCCUGCUUUUGUGGGGUGCUCGAGUGGCGAACGGGUGAGUAACACGUGAGUAACCUGCCCUUGACUUUGGGAUAACUUCAGGAAACUGGGGCUAAUACCGGAUAGGAGCUCCUGCUGCAUGGUGGGGGUUGGAAAGUUUCGGCGGUUGGGGAUGGACUCGCGGCUUAUCAGCUUGUUGGUGGGGUAGUGGCUUACCAAGGCUUUGACGGGUAGCCGGCCUGAGAGGGUGACCGGCCACAUUGGGACUGAGAUACGGCCCAGACUCCUACGGGAGGGAGGAGUGGGGAAUAUUGCACAAUGGGCGGAAGCCUGAUGCAGCAACGCCGUGUGCGGGAUGACGGCCUUCGGGUGGUAAACCGCUUUCGCCUGUGACGAAGCGUGAGUGACGGUAAUGGGGAAAGAAGCACCGGCUAACUACGG
RNAcentral lists this ribosomal RNA (467 nucleotides) under uncultured bacterium. RNAcentral's name for it is "partial 16S ribosomal RNA". It matches the Rfam family "Bacterial small subunit ribosomal RNA", at positions 28 to 506 of the family's 1533-position model. The record is from RNAcentral.